UACGGAGGGUGCGAGCGUUGUCCGGAAUCACUGGGCGUAAAGGGCGCGUAGGUGGCUACUUAAGCGUGUGGUGAAAGUCCGGGGCUCAACCCCGGAUCGGCCGUGCGAACUGGGUGGCUUGAGCACUGUAGAGGCAGGUGGAAUUCCGGGUGUAGCGGUGGAAUGCGUAGAGAUCCGGAAGAACACCGGUGGCGAAGGCGGCCUGCUGGGCAGUGGCUGACACUGAGGCGCGACAGCGUGGGGAGCAAACAGG
RNAcentral lists this ribosomal RNA (253 nucleotides) under uncultured bacterium. RNAcentral describes it as "partial 16S ribosomal RNA". It matches the Rfam family "Bacterial small subunit ribosomal RNA", at positions 524 to 776 of the family's 1533-position model. The record is from RNAcentral.